GGGAGGUAGUGACAAUAAAUAACAAUACGGGGUCCUUUAGGGUCUCGUAAUUGGAAUGAGUACAAUUUAAAUCUCUUAACGAGGAACAAUUGGAGGGCAAGUCUGGUGCCAGCAGCCGCGGUAAUUCCAGCUCCAAUAGCGUAUAUUAAAGUUGUUGCAGUUAAAAAGCUCGUAGUUGAAUUUCGAGAUCAGUACGCUGGUCGUGCCUUCGGUAUGCACUGGUAUCACUGGUUUCUCCCUUCUGAAGAACCGUCAUGUCAUUAAUUUGGUGUUGCGAGGAAUCUGGACUGUUACUUUGAAAAAAUUAGAGUGUUUAAAGCAGGCUAACGCUUGAAUACAUUAGCAUGGAAUAAUGAAAUAGGACGUUCGAUCUUAUUUUGUUGGUUUCUAAGAUUGACGUAAUGAUUAAUAGGGAUAGUUGGG
This 423-nucleotide ribosomal RNA is filed under the name uncultured Glomeraceae. RNAcentral describes it as "SSU rRNA". It matches the Rfam family "Eukaryotic small subunit ribosomal RNA", at positions 459 to 886 of the family's 1831-position model. Lineage: Eukaryota; Fungi; Glomeromycota; Glomeromycetes; Glomerales; Glomeraceae. The record is from RNAcentral.